This 615-nucleotide ribosomal RNA is filed under the name Rhizopus sp. BAB-4793. RNAcentral's name for it is "eukaryotic LSU rRNA". The stretch from base 210 to 363 matches the Rfam family "5.8S ribosomal RNA". The record is from RNAcentral. Lineage: Eukaryota; Fungi; Mucoromycota; Mucoromycetes; Mucorales; Rhizopodaceae.
UGCGGAAGGAUCAUUAAUUAUGUUAAAGCGCCUUACCUUAGGGUUUCCUCUGGGGUAAGUGAUUGCUUCUACACUGUGAAAAUUUGGCUGAGAGACUCAGACUGGUCAUGGGUAGACCUAUCUGGGGUUUGAUCGAUGCCACUCCUGGUUUCAGGAGCACCCUUCAUAAUAAACCUAGAAAUUCAGUAUUAUAAAGUUUAAUAAAAAACAACUUUUAACAAUGGAUCUCUUGGUUCUCGCAUCGAUGAAGAACGUAGCAAAGUGCGAUAACUAGUGUGAAUUGCAUAUUCAGUGAAUCAUCGAGUCUUUGAACGCAGCUUGCACUCUAUGGUUUUUCUAUAGAGUACGCCUGCUUCAGUAUCAUCACAAACCCACACAUAACAUUUGUUUAUGUGGUGAUGGGUCGCAUCGCUGUUUUAUUACAGUGAGCACCUAAAAUGUGUGUGAUUUUCUAUCUGGCUUGCUAGGCAGGAAUAUUACGCUGGUCUCAGGAUCUUUUUUUUUGGUUCGCCCAGGAAGUAAAGUACAAGAGUAUAAUCCAGUAACUUUCAAACUAUGAUCUGAAGUCAGGUGGGAUUGCCCGCUGAACUUAAGCAUAUCAAUAAGCCGGAGGAA